CACUCUCAGAUCCUUUUCAUAUACAUGCCCAUAGCUUAAGACAGCUGCAACCACUGCCUGCUCCAGGCUGUUGGUUGUCAGUGGAUACUAAGGUUUCUCCAAGUCAGGUCUUGCUCAGGGCAUUACUUCAAGUCAGUGUCUUGUACAGUGGCUUCUGUUGUUUCAGUGAUGACUAAAUAGCAUGGGAGUUUAAGUUGCUCCUGGCGGUUAGCCUGAACAGACUAUAGAGAGGCACAUUGCAGACUCAGGUUUCUUACAUAUCUAGUUUGCCUUGUCCAGCAUGAGGCCACCAUGUUCUGUAAUCAGUGCAGCAGUUCUUGUGUGACUUGGCUGUUAUGUCUGAAAAUAGUGGCUGAAUUCAUGUGCCUCUAUUCAGACAGUCCCAUCUCAAAAAUUUCAGCCGGGCCAUCUCAUAGUGGAAGUGAGACUUUUUCCAGGGGCAUUAACUGUGGGAUCUCCAGAGUUAUAGCCACAUUAAUCAUGAAUUCCCUGAGAAACUGCCCUACCCCAUUAAAUACACUGGCAUAUUUUUUAAUAAGGUCACCUGCCUUGUGUCAGCUGAGAUGGAGUAAUUCCCACUUUCAUUACCAGUUUGAUCAAUUUAAUAUCCAGCCUGCUCAGGGACCGAGCUCUAGUGAUGCUGCUGUGUGUACAGCAUGAAAUUUGUGGUGUUUUACAUCCUGUUUGAUUGGGUCUAAAAGCACACCAUCUGCCAACGUGCCCCUGCUUUACCUUUCCCUUGUAAAUGUGGGUUCUUGCUCUCUUCCACUCAUCCUGCAGUUGCCAGACCCAUGUGGAAAACUACGUACCCAGUUCGGAAGCUGUGGCUGAAGCCUCUACAGGUUUUCAGUUUCUGCUGGGUCCUGACUGCUUCCACAGGGACCCCAGGAGGGUGGCCCUCUUCCUAUUGGCUGCAGGGUCAUAAGUAUCACGUAUUCCACCCUAGUUUCAGCUGCAUAGACGCUGGGAUUAUGUAUCAGUUCUUUAUGGCAAACCUUGCUGGCCACCAUGCUGUUCCUAAGCUGCCAGUCCUUGGCAUUCACCAGCCAGCACCUCCUGUCCUGUGGUGACAAACUCCACUGUGGCAGCCGGACCUGCUUCACAGUGUGGGGUCAGCAGCUGUACUGGGGUUUGCAGAGUAACCUAUGUGCUGUCCUGUCUACUAGCUUUGGCAAAAAGAAAACAGUCCUUUUUUCUCUCUUAUGCAACCACUUAAGCCCAAGCAGUUGUUCUGGGGUUCGUGGUUUUUAUUCAUGACAUUAGUAGCGGAAAAUUACUGUCAUUGCCUCCUUUGGCUUGGGCCUUGUUCCUUUGCAACCCAUAUGAUUGAGAGAAUUUCCCUCUGGGCAAGAAGAAAUGGCAGCAUGGCCAAGCCAUGAAGAGCAGGUGGGCAAUACAAACAUUUCAAAGCCCAGACCAUAUUGAUGUAAAUAUUGCAAGUUUUCUUGGGGAAAGAAUGACCCUAUAUUUUUACAGAUUAUUUUACCAGUAGUCUUAUGUACUGGUUACUUAAUGCUUGAGGUUUGGGGGAGCAUCCUGGCUAGCAGCACCUCAGAAAAAAGAAAACUGAAUGACCAGGUGACUUCAUUACAGCAACCAUCUGAGUAAUAUACUCAAAUCUACAAUCUAUAGAACAAUGAUAAAAUUCUGCCUGCUAAAGCACAGAGAAUUUACAGAACCCUAAAUCCAAACACAGUCAGGAUUUAGGGUUCACUGACAUCCAUUCUCUGAAGUGGGCUGUGUACCCUUCAGUUAGCACACCAUCCCCUAGUUAUGUUAAAUAAAUGUUCACUGCUUCUCCGCAGCAUCCUGGCUAACAGCAAGAGGGUACUGCACAGUGGUGCUGCACGCUAUCAAUAUAUUAUAUAUUACACCCAGCCAUUAGGUUGCUGCUCAAGUUCGGUCCAACCUGUCCAGCCGGGUAUGGCGAUUAAACCUAUCAAGAGGGUCCCCGCUCCUACACGCGAGCCUCUCCGCUGUCAUUUGUCCCCUAUGCCGCUGGAUGGCAAUGCCGCCUAAAGUAUCGCCGCGCUUUCGCGGCCGGUAUAGAGACCCGGCAGAGGAGGAGGAGGAAGACGGGAGGUGAAGCAGCCUUCUUCCUGCCGUCAUGCAGAGUCUGGCACAGUCCAGCCAGAAGAGAUUGCCUGCAGGAGAGAGUGCUCUGGUCCUCCAGGAAGGGGGGAAGGCAGCCUGGCAGCAGCAGCCUUUUCCAAGCACAGGAACAGAAGGAAGGCAGAAAAAAAGCCACCCUCAACAGCAGUUUAAGGGUUGAGUUUGACCCCACGCUCACCCACUCAAUUAGCAACCGCCUUUUGCAACCAACAUUGGCCUUCCAAAAUGAAGCAGCACCACUUCCCCUCUGUGCAGGAAGAGCACAAAAUGGAGGUAAGAAAAAGAGCUUCAUCAUGUUGAGAUGAAGACUAUCCUCCCACCGUUUAUGCUGCCAGGAGAGGGAUUUCCAGGAACACAGGGAAAGGCUUUACUUCUGGGGAGGCUCCACAUGAGCACAGGGCUAUUAACAAAGCCCAGGUUCCUUAACAGGCCUAAAAGAAGAUUAAGAAGUAGCUUAUUCUCAAGUUUUGAAACACAACCCGCAAUGUGCAAGACCAGGCAGGGGUUAAGACAUGCCCAUAUCCAUCAGGGAAGCAGGCUGCAAGGCAGAUGUCUUAGGUCCUUACACAGGACAAGUUCCCCGAUUUAAAUACCUUUCUUUUUUCUCUAGGGUUAUUUUUAAGCUUGCUGCCUGACUUCAACAGCGUUCCUUACCAAAAGCUUUGGUGGGGCAACCUGAUACUGCAUGAAGGGAGGGGAAGGGUUGAAACAGAACAAGAAAGGAACAAGGUGAGAAACGUUUUUUAGGACAGGUUCCCCGGGUGUGGGGAGCUGUGGCCUUAGGGGCCAGAUUUAACUGGACAACAGAGGCUGUCCUGGAAGAGCUGGUGAAAGGAGUAAUAAACACUCCAGGUGGGAAACAAAGGGAGGGCAACCACCCACCCAUAAAUAUGGGCAGGGCAGACCUGCAUCUACAUUGCCUACAGCUGGGGCCAUCUGUCUAGAGGCAGGGAAGGGUGUCAGGAGGGGAGGGCCUGCUCCAGGUUAGCAAGGUUAAGUGUGAAGCAGGUGAUGCUGCCUCUGGGGCAAGUGAUAGCCUGUCUGUAUUUGCAUGCCAUAUUUUUCCAGUGACACUUAGCUCACAGAGUGUGUGUGUUUUCAGCAUAGUUCCAAAUAAACACCACGCCCCUCAGACAUGCACAUCUCUUACAUGUUUUGAAAUAAAUGCCUGCAGCUGGAAGACAGGAAAGGGGAAAAAGACUUAGGAGAUUCAUUUCUGCAUAGCCCGUUUAUAGCGGGACCUGUGACAGAGUAAAUCUCAAAACUGAGGCUGGUUAGGUUUCCUUCCUCUCUGUCCAGCUGUCUCUCCCUUAGGCUACUCACUUAAUUCCUUUGUGUCCCAGUUAUCUUGCAGAUACAGAAUAAAUAACACCAUCUACCUCACAAAAAAAUAUUUACAGUUUGUCUCAGGAUUUUCCUAAGUUUUUAUACUGAACUUUCUCUGCUUCUGCCUUCACCUUAGAAGAACACAGAGGUUUAUAGAGCAAUCCUGAUGGAGACAUACAGAUGUGUAUUUCCCACAAGUACCAUAUUGCCUGUCCAAUUUGUAAAUCUGACUCCUUGAGUGCCUAAAAUACUUGAAAUGUUUUAUUUCUGUUUCUUAUUUUCAAGGUUAUUUAC
Long non-coding RNA from Pezoporus flaviventris, 3732 nucleotides. RefSeq lists it as uncharacterized. NCBI's taxonomy places the organism in Eukaryota, Metazoa, Chordata, Aves, Psittaciformes, Psittacidae. The transcript is spliced from 3 exons. The record is from RefSeq and is a predicted model, not a curated record.